Molecule: long non-coding RNA, 289 nt
Organism: Hippocampus zosterae (dwarf seahorse)
Lineage: Eukaryota; Metazoa; Chordata; Actinopteri; Syngnathiformes; Syngnathidae
Exons: 3
Source: RefSeq, a predicted model, not a curated record
GGAGCUGAUUCAGGUCCUUGAACCCUCAUAUGUUUUGCCGACGAGAAAGAUCAUCAAGAAAAUGGUGGCCGAAAAAUAUAAGGAGGAACGGGAAAAAGUGAAAAUGGAAGUACAGCAAGCUGUGGCAAUUCAAAUCACUUGGAUUCCGCAGUUCCUCCAGGUGCACGGAGGCCGUAUCCAGACUGCGGGCUGAGUGCAUGCGUGUCAUCGGGUGCACAUUCGAGGCCCAGCCUGGACCAUCAUCGCAGCCCUCUGCAACUACAUCAGGCAUGUUACUCAUCAUUAUUAG